This 465-nucleotide ribosomal RNA is filed under the name Vreelandella stevensii. Its description in RNAcentral is "partial 16S ribosomal RNA". It matches the Rfam family "Bacterial small subunit ribosomal RNA", at positions 338 to 795 of the family's 1533-position model. Lineage: Bacteria; Pseudomonadati; Pseudomonadota; Gammaproteobacteria; Oceanospirillales; Halomonadaceae. The record is from RNAcentral.
CCUACGGGUGGCAGCAGUGGGGAAUAUUGGACAAUGGGCGAAAGCCUGAUCCAGCCAUGCCGCGUGUGUGAAGAAGGCCUUCGGGUUGUAAAGCACUUUCAGUGGGGAAGAAAGCCUUGGGGCUAAUACCCUCGAGGAAGGACAUCACCCACAGAAGAAGCACCGGCUAACUCCGUGCCAGCAGCCGCGGUAAUACGGAGGGUGCGAGCGUUAAUCGGAAUUACUGGGCGUAAAGCGCGCGUAGGCGGUCUGAUAAGCCGGUUGUGAAAGCCCCGGGCUCAACCUGGGAACGGCAUCCGGAACUGUCAGGCUAGAGUGCAGGAGAGGAAGGUAGAAUUCCCGGUGUAGCGGUGAAAUGCGUAGAGAUCGGGAGGAAUACCAGUGGCGAAGGCGGCCUUCUGGACUGACACUGACGCUGAGGUGCGAAAGCGUGGGCAGCAAACAGGAUUAGAUACCCCGGUAGUC